GACGAACGCUGGCGGCGUGCUUAACACAUGCAAGUCGAACGGAAAGGCCCUGCUUUUGUUGGUUUCUCGAUUGCCGAACGGGUGAGUAACACGUGAGUAACCUGCCCUUGUCUUUCGGAUAACUUCACGAAACUGGGGCUCAUACCGGAUAUGAUCUCCUGCUGCAUGGUGGUGGUUGGAAAGUUUCGGCGGUUCGGGAUGGACUCGCGGCUUAUCCGCUUGUUGGUGGGGUAGUUGCUUACCAAGGCUUUGACGGGUAGCCGGCCUGAGAGGGUUAACGGGCACAUGGGGACUGAGAGACGGCCCAGAAGCGUACGGGAGGCAGAAGGGGGGAAUAUGGCACAAUGGGCGGAAGUGUGAGGCAGAAACGUCGCGUGCGGGAUGACGGCCUUCGGGGUGUAAACCGAUUUCGAAUGUGACGAAGAGUGAGUGACGGUAAUGGGUAAAGAAGCAACGGCUAACUACGUG
This 468-nucleotide ribosomal RNA is filed under the name uncultured bacterium. RNAcentral describes it as "partial 16S ribosomal RNA". It matches the Rfam family "Bacterial small subunit ribosomal RNA", at positions 28 to 507 of the family's 1533-position model. The record is from RNAcentral.